GCUGGGCGUGGUGGCUCACGCCUGUAAUCCCAGCACUUUGGGAGGCUGAGACUAGAGGAUCGCUUGAGCCCAGGAGUUCUAGACCAGCCUGGGCAACAAAGUGAGACCCUGUCUCGAU
Unclassified non-coding RNA from Callithrix jacchus (white-tufted-ear marmoset), 118 nucleotides. It matches the Rfam family "Metazoan signal recognition particle RNA". Rfam says of the family: The signal recognition particle (SRP) is a universally conserved ribonucleoprotein. The record is from Ensembl. Lineage: Eukaryota; Metazoa; Chordata; Mammalia; Primates; Cebidae.